RNAcentral lists this ribosomal RNA (211 nucleotides) under Enterobacter hormaechei. Its description in RNAcentral is "partial 23S ribosomal RNA". It matches the Rfam family "Bacterial large subunit ribosomal RNA", at positions 1127 to 1336 of the family's 2925-position model. Lineage: Bacteria; Pseudomonadati; Pseudomonadota; Gammaproteobacteria; Enterobacterales; Enterobacteriaceae. The record is from RNAcentral.
AGAAAGCGUAAUAGCUCACUGGUCGAGUCGGCCUGCGCGGAAGAUGUAACGGGGCUAAACCAUGCACCGAAGCUGCGGCAGCGACGCUUAUGCGUUGUUGGGUAGGGGAGCGUUCUGUAAGCCGUCGAAGGUGUGCUGUGAGGCAUGCUGGAGGUAUCAGAAGUGCGAAUGCUGACAUAAGUAACGAUAAAGCGGGUGAAAAGCCCGCUCG